RNAcentral lists this ribosomal RNA (258 nucleotides) under Escherichia coli. Its description in RNAcentral is "partial 16S ribosomal RNA". It matches the Rfam family "Bacterial small subunit ribosomal RNA", at positions 1 to 255 of the family's 1533-position model. Lineage: Bacteria; Pseudomonadati; Pseudomonadota; Gammaproteobacteria; Enterobacterales; Enterobacteriaceae. The record is from RNAcentral.
AAAUUGAAGAGUUUGAUCAUGGCUCAGAUUGAACGCUGGCGGCAGGCCUAACACAUGCAAGUCGAACGGUAACAGGAAACAGCUUGCUGUUUCGCUGACGAGUGGCGGACGGGUGAGUAAUGUCUGGGAAGCUGCCUGAUGGAGGGGGAUAACUACUGGAAACGGUAGCUAAUACCGCAUAACGUCGCAAGACCAAAGAGGGGGACCUUCGGGCCUCUUGCCAUCGGAUGUGCCCAGAUGGGAUUAGCUAGUAGGUGG